Molecule: ribosomal RNA, 419 nt
Filed under: uncultured bacterium
Lineage: Bacteria
Description: bacterial SSU rRNA
Rfam family: Bacterial small subunit ribosomal RNA
Source: RNAcentral
GAAUAUUGGGCAAUGGACGAGAGUCUGACCCAGCCAUGCCGCGUGCAGGAAGACGGCGUUCUGCGUUGUAAACUGCUUUUAUCUGGGAAGAAAAGGCCCCUGCGGGGGACAUUGCCGGUACCAGAUGAAUAACCCCCGGCUACCUCCGUGCCAGCAGCCGCGGUAAUACGGAGGGUGCCAGCGUUGUCCGGAUUUAUUGGGUUUAAAGGGUGCGUAGGCGGCUAUUUAAGUCAGUGGUGAAAGACCCCGGCUCAACCGGGGCAGUGCCAUUGAUACUGGACAGCUUGAGUAUUGGAGGGGUACAUGGAAUUGACGGUGUAGCGGUGAAAUGCAUAGAUACCGUCAGGAACACCGAUAGCGAAGGCAUUGUACUGGACAAUAACUGACGCUGAUGCACGAAAGCAUGGGUAGCGAACAGG